This is an RNA transcript of Zea mays, 656 nucleotides long. RefSeq lists it as uncharacterized. The record is from RefSeq and is a predicted model, not a curated record. NCBI's taxonomy places the organism in Eukaryota, Viridiplantae, Streptophyta, Magnoliopsida, Poales, Poaceae. The transcript is spliced from 2 exons.
AUGUAGCCGUAGUCUCCUCCAUCCAACAUUUCCUACGCAUGCAGCUCCAUCUCAGUCGUUGUACCCAUUCAAUGGCGAGCUGGUGGCAGCGAUGUAGGAGAUGAUCCAUGACGAGGUGCACAAGUACAUGUUAGUGGACGACACCUGCCAAAGAUACACAAUUUCUACUGUUUUUCAGUUGGAGAAAACAUUUAAGACAAUAUUUUCUCGUUUGUUCUCCAUAUGGGGCUUGUUCCACGCCACUUGAAGGAAGAAGGGAAUGGUGGUGUUAAGUUCGGACAAUACAUCUACACAUCUUGGAGCAUCGGCAUCAAUGUUUUCAAUCUUCUCAAAUUUCAAAUUAUUCUGGUCUCUUCGUGCAACCAUAAAAGUUUAUUAAGUCACUUAUCUGAGUGGUCUAAAAGUCUAGCAUAUUUUUGUUCCUCUGCCUGUCGAGACGGAUCAACUGACAUGAAUAAUAUCCAGUGAAUACUGCAAGAGCUAUUCAUGAUCUGCCGUGAACUAGCUAGUAUGAUAUAACUCAGUUUGUGGAGUGCUAAUGCACAAACAGGAAAUAGGAUGAUACUUCAUGUAUAUUUUUUUAUUUCAUGAAAAUGAACUAUAGGAUACUGUUCACAAUCCAUACCAAGCUUCUGCAGUUAUCAACAUGUUUUCUA